This 275-nucleotide ribosomal RNA is filed under the name uncultured bacterium. RNAcentral's name for it is "partial 16S ribosomal RNA". It matches the Rfam family "Bacterial small subunit ribosomal RNA", at positions 523 to 796 of the family's 1533-position model. The record is from RNAcentral.
AGACGGAGGGCGCAAGCGUUGUUCGGAAUUACUGGGCGUAAAGGGCAGGUAGGUGGUCUGUUAAGUCUUCUGUGAAAAUCCGGGGCUCAACCCCGUGAAAUGCAGGUGAAACUGGCAGACUUGAGACCGGUAGAGGCUAGCGGAAUUCCUGGUGUAGCGGUGGAAUGCGUAGAUAUCAGGAAGAACACCUGUGGCGAAGGCGGCUAGCUGGGCCGGUUCUGACACUGAACUGCGAAAGCGUGGGGAGCAAACAGGAUUAGAAACCCCAGUAGUCC